RNAcentral lists this transfer RNA (75 nucleotides) under Deinococcus metalli. Its description in RNAcentral is "tRNA-OTHER". The record is from RNAcentral. Lineage: Bacteria; Thermotogati; Deinococcota; Deinococci; Deinococcales; Deinococcaceae.
GCAGGCUUCUUCUAGUCAGCAAGAUGCCCGGCAACCGUCGGGGAACGGCGGUGCAAUUCCGUCCAGCCUGCUCCA